UACGAAGGGUGCAAGCGUUACUCGGAAUUACUGGGCGUAAAGCGUGCGUAGGCGGUUUGUUAAGUCUGAUGUGAAAUCCCCGGGCUCAACCUGGGAAUGGCAUUGGAUACUGGCAGGCUAGAGUACGGUAGAGGGUAGUGGAAUUCCCGGUGUAGCAGUGAAAUGCGUAGAGAUCGGGAGGAACAUCUGUGGCGAAGGCGGCUACCUGGACCAGCACUGACGCUGAGGCACGAAAGCGUGGGGAGCAAACAGG
Molecule: ribosomal RNA, 253 nt
Filed under: uncultured bacterium
Lineage: Bacteria
Description: partial 16S ribosomal RNA
Rfam family: Bacterial small subunit ribosomal RNA
Source: RNAcentral